GUACACUCCUACGGGAGGCAGCAGUGGGGAAUUUUGGACAAUGGGCGAAAGCCUGAUCCAGCAAUGCCGCGUGAGUGAAGAAGGCCUUCGGGUUGUAAAGCUCUUUUGUCAGGGAAGAAACGGUGAAAGCUAAUAUCUUUUGCUAAUGACGGUACCUGAAGAAUAAGCACCGGCUAACUACGUGCCAGCAGCCGCGGUAAUACGUAGGGUGCAAGCGUUAAUCGGAAUUACUGGGCGUAAAGCGUGCGCAGGCGGUUUUGUAAGUCUGAUGUGAAAUCCCCGGGCUCAACCUGGGAAUUGCAUUGGAGACUGCAAGGCUAGAAUCUGGCAGAGGGGGGUAGAAUUCCACGUGUAGCAGUGAAAUGCGUAGAUAUGUGGAGGAACACCGAUGGCGAAGGCAGCCCCCUGGGUCAAGAUUGACGCUCAUGCACGAAAGCGUGGGGAGCAAACAGGAUUAGAAACCCUAGUAGUCCCAUG
This 477-nucleotide ribosomal RNA is filed under the name uncultured organism. Its description in RNAcentral is "partial 16S ribosomal RNA". It matches the Rfam family "Bacterial small subunit ribosomal RNA", at positions 331 to 799 of the family's 1533-position model. The record is from RNAcentral.